CCUACGGGAGGCAGCAGUGAGGAAUAUUGGUCAAUGGACGAGAGUCUGAACCAGCCAAGUAGCGUGAAGGAUGACGGCCCUAUGGGUUGUAACCUUCUUUUAUAAAGGAAUAAAACGAGGCACGUGUGCCUUUUUGCAUGUACUUUAUGAAUAAGGAUGGGCUAACUACGUGCCAGCAGCCGCGGUAAUACGGCGGAUCCGAGCGUUAUCCGGAUUUAUUGGGUUUAAAGGGCGCGUAGAUGGGUUGUUAAGUCAGUUGUGAAAGUUUGCGGCUCAACCGUAAAAUUGCAAUUGAUACUGGCAGUCUUGAGUACAGUUGAGGUAGGCGGAAUUCGUGGUGUAGCGGUGAAAUGCGUAGAUAUCACGAAGAACACCGAUUGCGAAGGCAGCUUACUAAACUGUGACUGACAUUGAUGCUCGAAAGUGUGGGUAUCAAACAGGAUUAGAUACCCGUGUAGUC
This 460-nucleotide ribosomal RNA is filed under the name uncultured bacterium. RNAcentral describes it as "partial 16S ribosomal RNA". It matches the Rfam family "Bacterial small subunit ribosomal RNA", at positions 338 to 795 of the family's 1533-position model. The record is from RNAcentral.